This 109-nucleotide transfer RNA is filed under the name Rhizoctonia solani AG-1 IB. It matches the Rfam family "tRNA". From Rfam's summary of the family: Transfer RNA (tRNA) molecules are approximately 80 nucleotides in length. The record is from Rfam by way of RNAcentral. Lineage: Eukaryota; Fungi; Basidiomycota; Agaricomycetes; Cantharellales; Ceratobasidiaceae.
GCUUCCUUGGCUCAGUUGGUAGAGCGUUGGUCUCAUAUAUUUAAGUAUGAGUAAUUCUUGAAGAACUACCCAAAUCCAAAGGUCGUCAGUUCGAGCCUGACAGGGAGCA